Molecule: ribosomal RNA, 253 nt
Filed under: uncultured bacterium
Lineage: Bacteria
Description: partial 16S ribosomal RNA
Rfam family: Bacterial small subunit ribosomal RNA
Source: RNAcentral
UACGUAGGGGGCAAGCGUUGUCCGGAUUCAUUGGGCGUAAAGAGCGUGUAGGCGGCCAGGUAGGUCGGUUGUGAAAACUGGAGGCUCAACCUUCAGAGGUCGACCGAAACCAUCUGGCUAGAGUCCGGGAGAGGCGAGUGGAAUUCCUGGUGUAGCGGUGAAAUGCGCAGAUAUCAGGAGGAACACCUAUUGCGAAGGCAGGUCACUGGGCCGCAACUGACGCUGAGGAGCGAAAGCAUGGGGAGCGAACAGG